GACGAACGCUGGCGGCGUGCUUAACACAUGCAAGUCGAGCGGAAAGGCCACUUCGGUGGUACUCGAGCGGCGAACGGGUGAGUAACACGUGAGUAAUCUGCCCCUGGCUUCGGGAUAGCCACCGGAAACGGUGAUUAAUACCGGAUAUGACAGACCCUCGCAUGGGGGUGUGUGGAAAGUUUUUCGGCCAGGGAUGUGCUCGCGGCCUAUCAGCUUGAUGGUGAGGUAAUGGCUCACCAUGGCUUCGACGGGUAGCCGGCCUGAGAGGGUGACCGGCCACACUGGGACUGAGACACGGCCCAGACUCCUACGGGAGGCAGCAGUGGGGAAUAUUGGACAAUGGGCGGAAGCCUGAUCCAGCAACGCCGCGUGAGGGAUGACGGCCUUCGGGUUGUAAACCUCUUUCAGUACCGACGAAGCGCAAGUGACGGUAGGUACAGAAGAAGCACCGGCCAACUACGUGCCAGCAGCCGCGGUAAUACGUAGGGUGCGAGCGUUGUCCGGAAUUAUUGGGCGUAAAGGGCUCGUAGGCGGUUUGUCGCGUCGGGAGUGAAAACGCCGUGCUUAACACGGCGCUUGCUUCCGAUACGGGCAGACUAGAGGUAUUCAGGGGAGAACGGAAUUCCUGGUGUAGCGGUGAAAUGCGCAGAUAUCAGGAGGAACACCGGUGGCGAAGGCGGUUCUCUGGGAAUG
Molecule: ribosomal RNA, 693 nt
Filed under: uncultured Actinomycetes bacterium
Lineage: Bacteria; Bacillati; Actinomycetota; Actinomycetes
Description: bacterial SSU rRNA
Rfam family: Bacterial small subunit ribosomal RNA
Source: RNAcentral